UACAGAGCCUGCGCGCGUUAUUCGGAUUCACUGGGCGUAAAGGGUGCGCAGGCGGCCGUGUGUGUGAGGCGUGAAAGCCCGGGGCUUAACCCCGGAAUUGCACCUCAAACUACACGGCUAGAGCAUUGGAGAGGGUAGCGGAAUUCACGGUGUAGCAGUGAAAUGCGUAGAUAUCGUGAGGAACACCAGAGGCGAAGGCGGCUACCUGGACAAUUGCUGACGCUCAGGCACGAAAGCGUGGGGAGCAAAAGGG
This 253-nucleotide ribosomal RNA is filed under the name uncultured bacterium. RNAcentral describes it as "partial 16S ribosomal RNA". It matches the Rfam family "Bacterial small subunit ribosomal RNA", at positions 524 to 776 of the family's 1533-position model. The record is from RNAcentral.